Long non-coding RNA from Lates calcarifer (barramundi perch), 1802 nucleotides. RefSeq lists it as uncharacterized. Lineage: Eukaryota; Metazoa; Chordata; Actinopteri; Centropomidae. The transcript has 2 exons. The record is from RefSeq and is a predicted model, not a curated record.
ACGUUGAUAGUUGUUGACAGUUGCAAGGCUAGCUCAUCAAGCUUGAUGACAACUGCAUUGCAUGUUACACCUGUACUGGCCACAUUCAUUUAAGAUAGCUGUGUAGUUCCAUACAUGCUACUAAAGCAUUUUAUUAAAUCAUAGACCUAGACAUUCUGACUUAUUACAGUGGGUUAGGGAAACUGAAAUUGAAGCAGAUAAAUGGAAUUCAGCCAUCAUUCAUUUUUAUCAGUUACACAUGCUUUAUCUAAAGCCACAUAAGAGAAUGUUAUGAAUACCAAAUAAAAGACCCUAUUCAAGUUUCUUUUUCCUUUUCUCUUUUUUUGGGGAAUUGGGCAUUGGUAUCCCUACCCCCCAUUCCCUAUUCCCUAUUCCGGGCGAGGUGACCAGCUGCAGCUACGUCAGUCGUGGAAGCAAAAACUUGGUUGUGGGAGUAGUUCAGGGAAGUCAAGGAGAAGGACUUUCAGCUGGCCUCAAGGAGGUUCUGGCAAACUGUUCAACAGCUCAGGAAGGGAAAGCAGGGCCUGUCUCAGGCUUUAUUCAGCCAGGGAGGGGAAGUGCUGACCCUGACUGUGGAUAUCACUGAGCAGUGGAAAGAGCACUUUGACAAACUCCUGAACCCAGCCAAUAUGUCUUCCGUGGAGGAGGCAGAGUCUGAUGGCUUGGGGGAAGCCUCAUCCAUAUCAUUGGCAGAGGUCGUAGAGGUAGUUAAGAAGCAGCCCAGCAACAAGGUGCCAGAUUUGGAUGAGAUUCAUCCCCUAAGAUGCUGAAGGCUCUCGACAUUGUGGGGCUGUCUUGGUUGACACACCUCUUAAGUGUUGCAUGGAGGUCAGGGACAGUACCUGGGGAGUGGCAGACCAGGGUGGUGGUCCCCAUUUUAAUUUUUUUUUUAAGGGGGACCGGAGGGUGUGCUCCAAUUUUUGGGGUAUCACACUACUCCGCCUCCCUGGGAACAUUUACUCCAGGGUGCUUGAAAGGAGGCUGCAACCGAUUGUCGAACCUCAGAUUCUGUCCUGGCCAUGGAGCAGUGGACCAGCUUUUUACUCUUGCAGGAGUGCUGAGGGAGUCAUGGGAAUUUGACCAUCCAGUCUACAUGUGUUUUGUAGACUUGGAGAAGGCUUAUGACCGUGUCCCCCGAGGGAUCCUGUGUCCUGGAUACUGGGGCCACUGAUGUGAGCCAUCUGGUCCUUGUACAACUGAAGUGAGAGCUUGUGCUUGCAUUCUCUGCAAGUGAAACACAUUUCCAGUGGGUGCUGGACUCCGCCAAGAUGACAUGGUACUGUUGGCUUCAUCAGACCGUGACCUUCCGCAUGCACUGGGGUGGUUUGCAGCCAAGUGUCUGCAAACCACCCCAGUGCACACCAGCCUUCAUGCAAGUCUUUUACCAGAUGGACAUACACUCUUUGGAAAUCUGAUAGUGGUUGGACACUGCAGCUGAUUGGACGGAUCUGAUUCUGCAUCACAUCAUUGCCGCAGGUUUAUGCUGAAGUGGAUAGACAAACAACAGAACUAUUUUAAGAAUAUUAAUCCGUCGAUAUGUAGUUCUGAAGACCCAUAAACAGCUUUCCUUAUUCAUUAAAAAGUACUAUGAAUAAUUAUGUCUAUAAUAAUCAUGUGAUGCUGAAAAUCCCUGUGUGUUGAGUAGACAUAUAGUUAAAUGUGAGAUAUGUUCACCUUUGUCUAAAAUAUUUAGACUAAUAAGUCAUUUCUACAAAAUAUUAUAAGUAUUGUAAUUGUAGCCAGGAUUAUUGAAUAACCCUUUAAUUUACAAAGAGGAUAACAAUAAAUGCAGAUACAAAUAA